GAGUUUGAUCAUGGCUCAGGAUGAACGCUGGCGGCGUGCUUAACACAUGCAAGUCGAACGAACCUUCGGGUUAGUGGCGGACGGGUGAGUAACGCGUGAGAAUCUGCCCUCAGGAGGGGGAUAACAGCUGGAAACGGCUGCUAAUACCCCAUAUGCCGCGAGGUGAAAUGAAUUUCGCCUGAGGAUGAGCUCGCGUCUGAUUAGCUAGUUGGUGUAGGUAAUGGCUCACCAAGGCAUCGAUCAGUAGCUGGUCUGAGAGGAUGAUCAGCCACACUGGGACUGAGACACGGCCCAGACUCCUACGGGAGGCAGCAGUGGGGAAUUUUCCGCAAUGGGCGAAAGCCUGACGGAGCAACGCCGCGUGAGGGAUGAAGGCCUCUGGGCUGUAAACCUCUUUUAUCAAGGAAGAAGAUCUGACGGUACUUGAUGAAUAAGCCACGGCUAAUUCCGUGCCAGCAGCCGCGGUAAUACGGGAGUGGCAAGCGUUAUCCGGAAUUAUUGGGCGUACAGCGUCCGCAGGCGGCCCUUCAAGCCUGCUGUUAAAAAGUGGAGCUUAACUCCAUCAUGGCAGUGGAAACUGAGGGGCUUGAGUGUGGUAGGGGCAGAGGGAAUUCCCGGUGUAGCGGUGAAAUGCGUAGAUAUCGGGAAGAACACCAGUGGCGAAGGCGCUCUGCUGGGCCAUCACUGACGCUCAUGGACGAAAGCCAGGGGAGCGAAAGGGAUUAGAUACCCCUGUAGUCCUGGCCGUAAACGAUGAACACUAGGUGUCGGGGGAAUCGACCCCCUCGGUGUCGUAGCCAACGCGUUAAGUGUUCCGCCUGGGGAGUACGCACGCAAGUGUGAAACUCAAAGGAAUUGACGGGGGCCCGCACAAGUGGUGGAGUAUGUGGUUUAAUUCGAUGCAACGCGAAGAACCUUACCAGGGUUUGACAUCCUGCGAAUCUCUUGGAAACGAGAGAGUGCCUUCGGGAACGCAGUGACAGGUGGUGCAUGGCUGUCGUCAGCUCGUGUCGUGAGAUGUUGGGUUAAGUCCCGCAACGAGCGCAACCCACGUCUUUAGUUGCCAGCAUUUAGUUGGGCACUCUAGAGAGACCGCCGGUGAUAAACCGGAGGAAGGUGUGGAUGACGUCAAGUCAUCAUGCCCCUUACAUCCUGGGCUACACACGUACUACAAUGCUACGGACAAAGGGCAGCAAGUUCGCGAGGACAAGCAAAUCCCAUAAACCGUGGCUCAGUUCAGGUCGUAGGCUGCAACUCGCCUACGUGAAGGAGGAAUCGCUAGUAAUCGCAGGUCAGCAUACUGCGGUGAAUACGUUCCCGGGCCUUGUACACACCGCCCGUCACACCAUGGAAGUUGGCCACGCCCGAAGCCGUUACUCCAACCCUUGUGGAGGAGGACGUCGAAGGUGGGGCUGAUGACUGGGGUGAAGUCGUAACAAGGUAACC
RNAcentral lists this ribosomal RNA (1446 nucleotides) under uncultured marine cyanobacterium. RNAcentral's name for it is "bacterial SSU rRNA". It matches the Rfam family "Bacterial small subunit ribosomal RNA". The record is from RNAcentral. Lineage: Bacteria; Bacillati; Cyanobacteriota.